AUUGAACGCUGGCGGCAUGCCUUACACAUGCAAGUCGAACGGCAGCGCGGGGGCAACCUGGCGGCGAGUGGCGAACGGGUGAGUAAUAUAUCGGAACAUGCCCAGAAGUGGGGGAUAACGUAGCGAAAGUUACGCUAAUACCGCAUACGAUCUACGGAUGAAAGUGGGGGACCGCAAGGCCUCAUGCUUUUGGAGUGGCCGAUAUCUGAUUAGCUAGUUGUGGGGUAAAGGCCUACCAAGGCGACGAUCAGUAGCUGGUCUGAGAGGACGACCAGCCACACUGGAACUGAGACACGGUCCAGACUCCUACGGGAGGCAGCAGUGGGGAAUUUUGGGACAAUGGGGGGCAACCCUGAUCCAGCAAUGCCGCGUGUGUGAAGAAGGCCUCGG
This 390-nucleotide ribosomal RNA is filed under the name uncultured bacterium. Its description in RNAcentral is "bacterial SSU rRNA". It matches the Rfam family "Bacterial small subunit ribosomal RNA", at positions 30 to 420 of the family's 1533-position model. The record is from RNAcentral.